GGGGCAGUAGUAUAGCUUGGUCUAGUAUUCUGGCUUCGGGAGUCAGCGACGGGGGUUCAAAUCCCCCCCGCCCCA
This 75-nucleotide transfer RNA is filed under the name Candidatus Iainarchaeum sp. RNAcentral's name for it is "tRNA-Pro". It matches the Rfam family "tRNA". From Rfam's summary of the family: Transfer RNA (tRNA) molecules are approximately 80 nucleotides in length. The record is from RNAcentral. Lineage: Archaea; Nanobdellati; Candidatus Iainarchaeota; Candidatus Iainarchaeia; Candidatus Iainarchaeales; Candidatus Iainarchaeaceae.